UAUACAUGCAGUCGAGCGAACGGACGAGAAGCUUGCUUCUCUGAUGUUAGCGGCGGACGGGUGAGUAACACGUGGAUAACCUACCUAUAAGACUGGGAUAACUUCGGGAAACCGGAGCUAAUACCGGAUAAUAUUUUGAACCGCAUGGUUCAAAAGUGAAAGACGGUCUUGCUGUCACUUAUAGAUGGAUCCGCGCUGCAUUAGCUAGUUGGUAAGGUAACGGCUUACCAAGGCAACGAUGCAUAGCCGACCUGAGAGGGUGAUCGGCCACACUGGAACUGAGACACGGUCCAGACUCCUACGGGAGGCAGCAGUAGGGAAUCUUCCGCAAUGGGCGAAAGCCUGACGGAGCAACGCCGCGUGAGUGAUGAAGGUCUUCGGAUCGUAAAACUCUGUUAUUAGGGAAGAACAUAUGUGUAAGUAACUGUGCACAUCUUGACGGUACCUAAUCAGAAAGCCACGGCUAACUACGUGCCAGCAGCCGCGGUAAUACGUAGGUGGCAAGCGUUAUCCGGAAUUAUUGGGCGUAAAGCGCGCGUAGGCGGUUUUUUAAGUCUGAUGUGAAAGCCCACGGCUCAACCGUGGAGGGUCAUUGGAAACUGGAAAACUUGAGUGCAGAAGAGGAAAGUGGAAUUCCAUGUGUAGCGGUGAAAUGCGCAGAGAUAUGGAGGAACACCAGUGGCGAAGGCGACUUUCUGGUCUGUAACUGACGCUGAUGUGCGAAAGCGUGGGGAUCAAACAGGAUUAGAUACCCUGGUAGUCCACGCCGUAAACGAUGAGUGCUAAGUGUUAGGGGGUUUCCGCCCCUUAGUGCUGCAGCUAACGCAUUAAGCACUCCGCCUGGGGAGUACGACCGCAAGGUUGAAACUCAAAGGAAUUGACGGGGACCCGCACAAGCGGUGGAGCAUGUGGUUUAAUUCGAAGCAACGCGAAGAACCUUACCAAAUCUUGACAUCCUUUGACAACUCUAGAGAUAGAGCUUUCCCCUUCGGGGGACAAAGUGACAGGUGGUGCAUGGUUGUCGUCAGCUCGUGUCGUGAGAUGUUGGGUUAAGUCCCGCAACGAGCGCAACCCUUAAGCUUAGUUGCCAUCAUUAAGUUGGGCACUCUAAGUUGACUGCCGGUGACAAACCGGAGGAAGGUGGGGAUGACGUCAAAUCAUCAUGCCCCUUAUGAUUUGGGCUACACACGUGCUACAAUGGACAAUACAAAGGGCAGCGAAACCGCGAGGUCAAGCAAAUCCCAUAAAGUUGUUCUCAGUUCGGAUUGUAGUCUGCAACUCGACUACAUGAAGCUGGAAUCGCUAGUAAUCGUAGAUCAGCAUGCUACGGUGAAUACGUUCCCGGGUCUUGUACACACCGCCCGUCACACCACGAGAGUUUGUAACACCCGAAGCCGGUGGAGUAAC
Molecule: ribosomal RNA, 1407 nt
Filed under: Staphylococcus aureus
Lineage: Bacteria; Bacillati; Bacillota; Bacilli; Caryophanales; Staphylococcaceae
Description: bacterial SSU rRNA
Rfam family: Bacterial small subunit ribosomal RNA
Source: RNAcentral